CGGGAGGAGCUGGCCAACCUGGAUCAGCUGGAGGGCGGCGCCGCCUCCGUGCGCGGGCACGAGACUGAGGAGCAGCGCAACAAGUUCCUCGUGCUCCGCCUCUACGAGGCGCUCAACAACCGCGACCACGCCGCCGUCCACUCCCUCCUCGCGCCGGACCUCGAGUGGUGGUUCCAUGGCCCGCCCGCGCACCAGCACAUGAUGCGCCUCCUCACCGGCGGCACCUCACCGUCCUUGUUCCGCUUCCAGCCGCGCUCCGUCGACGCCUUCGGCUCCACCGUCAUCGCCGAGGGCGUGGACGACAAGGCCAAGGCAUACUGGGUGCACGCCUGGACCGUGGGCGGCGAUGGGGUGAUCACCCAGCUGCGCGAGUACUUCAACACCGACCUCACCGUCACGCGCCUCGCCGCCGCCGCCGCGUCCAAGUGCGUCUGGCAGAGCCGCCGCCCCGACCGCGCCCGCAACUCCUUCCCGGGCCUCGUCCUCGCCCUCUAA
This 495-nucleotide ribosomal RNA is filed under the name Triticum aestivum (bread wheat). Its description in RNAcentral is "partial small subunit ribosomal RNA". Lineage: Eukaryota; Viridiplantae; Streptophyta; Magnoliopsida; Poales; Poaceae. The record is from RNAcentral.